GUGCUUGGUCUUGCUCUACGAGAGUGAGCUCUCAUAUUUUCCUGCAUCUACAUCUGUUGCAGGGUUUCUUUUCUACGGUUGGUGUCAGCAGUCAGCUCAUCUCCUGGUUCAUCGUCCAGUAUUUGCACUCCUCUGAUCAACUUGCUAAGGAUUUCCUAAUGGAUCCUGUACACAUUCCACCAAGGGUUAUUUUGGAUGCUAUGCUGAACACACUCUAUAGCUCCCAAAAGCUGUGUACUACACCCAGCCUACAGGAGACAUUGGUUUAUUUGCAUAUGAAAUCACCAGAAUUUUCGCCAUGGCUCUGGUUCUUGACAUGGAUAACUAUUGAUGGUGAAAAGAUUGUGGUUUUUUAUACUGGUAUAGGGGGAGUAUAAUACAAAUGGUCCUUCAAAUCCAGUUGGAAGCUCCUCCCUGUAAUUGAUGAAGGCAGGAUUUACUAUUUCUAGGGAGUAAGAGGUUUAUUUGUUGAACCAUGAUAUC
Molecule: non-coding RNA, 483 nt
Organism: Triticum urartu
Lineage: Eukaryota; Viridiplantae; Streptophyta; Magnoliopsida; Poales; Poaceae
Source: RefSeq, a predicted model, not a curated record